RNA transcript from Helianthus annuus (common sunflower), 1937 nucleotides. It is a transcript of the gene named UDP-N-acetylglucosamine diphosphorylase 1, with no coding region annotated. NCBI's taxonomy places the organism in Eukaryota, Viridiplantae, Streptophyta, Magnoliopsida, Asterales, Asteraceae. The record is from RefSeq and is a predicted model, not a curated record. The transcript is spliced from 14 exons.
CAACAAGAGGGUAUCAAAUCAUAAACCCAAUCAUAACCCAAAUCAUUUGAUCAACUCUUUUUGUCUCCCAUCUCAAACGUUAACCCAAUUAACCCACCUCACCAACUAACCCAACUCACCAGAUCGUUACUUCCCACCGCACCAUUAAUAAACAUUAAACACCCCUCUUUCUCAUUGAGAUCUACACACACACACAGAUCAGCUGAAAGCAACAACCUCGACAGUUGGUACGAUGAGGGAAGAACCCACCACCGACAAUAACCACAGCAACGGAUCAUCAUCGCCGCCACCACCGCCGCCACAAGCACUGGUUGAGAGGCUCAAAGAUUAUGGCCAAGAAGAUGCCUUUGCGUUCUGGGAUCAACUGUCUGCUGAUCAACAGAACUUUCUUGUUCAAGAAAUUGAGAGUUUGGAUCUUCAAAGGAUUGAUAGAAUGAUUCGCUGCUCAUUUCAGUCAUAUGGGCUGCCGCCGGCUUCCAUAGAGCCAGUGCCAGAGGGUUUUGUGUCAACCGUCGAAGAUAGAAAGAUUGAAGAUAGAGAAAAAUGGUGGAAUAUGGGGUUGAAGGCUAUUUCCGAAGGGAAAUUAGCGGUUCUUCUUUUAUCAGGUGGACAGGGGACACGGCUAGGAAGUUCUGCUCCAAAAGGAUGUUUUAAUGUUGGACUUCCGUCAGGAAAGUCACUUUUCCAACUUCAGGCUGAGCGGAUUAUGUGUCUGCAGAGAUUAGCAGCUCAAUCAUUAGCCGAGGGUUCUGGUAAUGUUGUACCGAUACAUUGGUACAUAAUGACCAGCCCGUUCACCGAUAAAGCCACACGUGACUUUUUUAAAAAUAACAAAUAUUUUGGUCUCGAUACUGAUCAGGUCUCAUUCUUUUCACAAGGCACAAUACCUUGCGUUUCGAAAGACGGUAGAUUUAUCAUGGAAACUCCAUUCCAGGUGGCAAAAGCUCCUGACGGAAAUGGAGGAGUUUAUUCAGCAUUGAAGUAUUCAAGACUAUUAGAAGAUAUGUCCACGAGGGGUGUCAAAUAUUUGGAUUGUUACGGAGUAGACAAUGCAUUGGUUCGUGUUGGUGAUCCUACUUUCUUGGGCUAUUUUAUCGACAAAGGCGUAGCUUCGGCCGCUAAAGUUGUCCGUAAGGCAUACCCUCAAGAAAAGGUCGGUGUAUUUGUACGACGCGGUAAAGGAGGACCUGUAACUGUAGUUGAAUAUAGUGAGUUGGAUCAAUCACUAGCAAGUGAAAUUAAUCAGAGAACCGGCCGACUUCGUUAUUGUUGGAGUAAUGUUUGCCUCCACAUGUUCACUUUGGACUUCUUAAACCAAGUUGCGAGCGGUCUCGAGAAGGACAGCAUGUUAGUAUUCACUCAACCUCUAAGUCGGAGGAUACCACCUUGCGGAGAAGAAAAUCCCAUCAAUCCAUGGUCAAACGGUCGGAUACAAGCUGGAACAGUUCAUAUUUGAUGCAUUUCCAUAUGCACCUUCAACCGCACUUUAUGAGGUGUUACGUGAAGAAGAAUUUGCCCCUGUGAAAAACGUCAACGGGUCAAACUUUGACACUCCAGACAGUGCACGGCUUCUGGUUCUCCGUUUACAUGCACGCUGGGUGGUGGCAGCUGGCGGGUUUUUAACACACUCAGUGCCUUUAUAUUCUACUGGCGUUGAGGUUUCACCACUUGUUUCAUACGUCGGAGAAAAUCUUGAACCAAUCUGUCGUGGUAGAACAUUCCAUGCCCCUUGUGAAAUCACAUUCUAGCUUUUCAUUUCAUUUUAUUUUAUUUUUAUAUUUAUUUUGUUGUGUUUACAUUUAAUUUAUCUUUUGGCAUUUUAGUUUCUUCAUAUAGCAAGAUGGAAAUUUGUAUAAACCUCUCAUAGCUCUGCUCAUAUUGAGAUUGUGUAACACUCAUUUUUUUAUGUAAUAUAUUCUAUUUGCCCAUUUAUAAUA